Panthera uncia (snow leopard) is the source of this 928-nucleotide long non-coding RNA. RefSeq lists it as uncharacterized. The transcript has 4 exons. The record is from RefSeq and is a predicted model, not a curated record. Lineage: Eukaryota; Metazoa; Chordata; Mammalia; Carnivora; Felidae.
CUGCAGUAGAGGCAGGAAGCACAGUGGAGUUUAACUCUUGUGCUGGUGGCACACCAUGGUCAACCACUGUUACCACUAAUUGCUAGUAUUGAGGGGACCUUACCUCACCCAUGAUCCUGGAUCCUACCCCUGACCAGCUGAAGAAUAAUGGAGGCUUCAUGAAGAAAUGAAGCACAAGUUGUUUUCUACAUCUUGGUCCUAGAUCUAAAAGCUCACCAAGUCCAAGUCCACUGACCUGUAGACUGAGCCUAGGCUCACCAUUCAAGUUACUAAAAACCAGGUGGAAGAGAAAACAUGGAGGGAUCAAGAAAUAAAAAGAAAGUCAUGUGCUGAAGAAUAUGAGGGAAGAGUGGAGUUAGAAGAGGAACAAGGUAAGUAGAGCCCAGAUUAUGGAUGGCUUUAUAGAGUAUGUUAAGGAUAUGGCUCUUUAACCCCAAAGCAAAAGAUGGCUUUUGAAUGGCUUUAACCACACAUGAAGGUAGGAAGGUAAGAAUGUGGUCAGAUUUAUUUUUUGAAAAGAUACAUAGACUGGAUGUGAGGGAUUAGUAAAAGUGAGGUUGAGAUGCUAUUGCAUUGAUCCAUGGUGAGAAAUCAUGGUAGUCUGGAUUGGUAUAUUGAUAUAUUGACUGUAUAGAUAAAGGAGAAUGGAAAUGAAAGGAUUGAGGAUGCAUUUAAAACAUAAAAGUCUGUAUUACUUGUUAAUGAAUUGGGUAUGUGGUACAAGGAAGGAGGAAGUGUCAAGAAUGACUUCCACAUAGCUUUUAAGCAACUGGAUAAAUAGCAAUGCCAUUCAUUGAGAAAAGCACAUGUGAAAGUAAAGAUAAUGCAUUUAGGUUUACACAUAAUACACCUUAGAUCCAAGAGAAGAUGUGGCAUAAGCAGAUAUCCAUUUAGGACUCAGAGGAGAGGUCUAUUAGCACUGGAAAUU